GAAGUCUAAAUAGUAACAUACAC
Molecule: non-coding RNA, 23 nt
Filed under: Arabidopsis thaliana (thale cress)
Lineage: Eukaryota; Viridiplantae; Streptophyta; Magnoliopsida; Brassicales; Brassicaceae
Source: RNAcentral